GAUGAACGCUGGCGGCGUGCCUAAUACAUGCAAGUCGAGCGAACGGACGAGAAGCUUGCUCCUCUGAUGUUAGCGGCGGACGGGUGAGUAACACGUGGAUAACCUACCUAUAAGACUGGGAUAACUUCGGGAAACCGGAGCUAAUACCGGAUAAUAUUUUGAACCGCACGGUUCAAAAGUGAAAGACGGUUUUGCUGUCACUUAUAGAUGGAUCCGCGCUGCAUUAGCUAGUUGGUAAGGUAACGGCUUACCAAGGCAACGAUGCAUAGCCGACCUGAGAGGGUGAUCGGCCACACUGGAACUGAGACACGGUCCAGACUCCUACGGGAGGCAGCAGUAGGGAAUCUUCCGCAAUGGGCGAAAGCCUGACGGAGCAACGCCGCGUGAGUGAUGAAGGUCUUCGGAUCGUAAAACUCUGUUAUUAGGGAAGAACAAAUGUGUAAGUAACUAUGCACGUCUUGACGGUACCUAAUCAGAAAGCCACGGCUAACUACGUG
Molecule: ribosomal RNA, 497 nt
Filed under: uncultured bacterium
Lineage: Bacteria
Description: partial 16S ribosomal RNA
Rfam family: Bacterial small subunit ribosomal RNA
Source: RNAcentral